RNAcentral lists this ribosomal RNA (276 nucleotides) under uncultured bacterium. RNAcentral's name for it is "partial 16S ribosomal RNA". It matches the Rfam family "Bacterial small subunit ribosomal RNA", at positions 332 to 607 of the family's 1533-position model. The record is from RNAcentral.
GGGACCUACGGGAGGCAGCAGUGAGGAAUAUUGGUCAAUGGGCGCGAGCCUGAACCAGCCAAGUAGCGUGAAGGAUGACUGCCCUACGGGUUGUAAACUUCUUUUAUAAAGGAAUAAAGUGAGGCACGUGUGCCUUUUUGUAUGUGCUUUAUGAAUAAGGAUCGGCUAACUCCGUGCCAGCAGCCGCGGUAAUACGGAGGAUCCGCGCGUUAUCCGGAUUUAUUGGGUUUAAAGGGCGAGUAGAUGGGUUGUUAAGUCAGUUAUGAAAGUUUGCGG